UCAGCUAUUGAUUAAGAUAAU
This 21-nucleotide non-coding RNA is filed under the name Caenorhabditis elegans. The record is from RNAcentral. Lineage: Eukaryota; Metazoa; Nematoda; Chromadorea; Rhabditida; Rhabditidae.